AUUGCUUCUCGGCCUUUUGGCUAAGAUCAAGUGUAGAAAUACAUUGCUUGCAUGCUCCUCCCUAAACCCGUUCUUCUCUCUGCCUCUUCAGAGGUUAAUCAGUACCCUGAAUUUGCUGCUUAUCAUUUCCAAGAUGAAGUGAUAGAUUUCUGUGUUUAAUUUUAUUUUAAAUUAAAAAAAAUUCUUCUA
Oryctolagus cuniculus (rabbit) is the source of this 189-nucleotide small nuclear RNA. Its record names the gene U2. It matches the Rfam family "U2 spliceosomal RNA". From Rfam's summary of the family: U2 is a small nuclear RNA (snRNA) component of the spliceosome (involved in pre-mRNA splicing). Complementary binding between U2 snRNA (in an area lying towards the 5' end but 3' to hairpin I) and the branchpoint sequence (BPS) of the intron results the bulging out of an unpaired adenosine, on the BPS, which initiates a nucleophilic attack at the intronic 5' splice site, thus starting the first of two transesterification reactions that mediate splicing. Lineage: Eukaryota; Metazoa; Chordata; Mammalia; Lagomorpha; Leporidae. The record is from Ensembl.